CCUUAGUAACGGCGAGUGAAGCGGCAAAAGCUCAAAUUUGAAAUCUAGCACUUUCAGUGUUCGAGUUGUAAUUUGAAGAUAGUUUUCUUGACAAGUCCUUUAUCUAUGUUCCUUGGAACAGGACGUCAUAGAGGGUGAGAAUCCCGUGUGAUUUUGGAUACUUGUCUUUGUAGAAUUCUAUCGAAGAGUCGAGUUGUUUGGGAAUGCAGCUCUAAGUGGGUGGUAAAUUCCAUCUAAAGCUAAAUAUUGGCGAGAGACCGAUAGCAAACAAGUACAGUGAUGGAAAGAUGAAAAGAACUCUGAAGAGAGAGUGAAAAAGUACGUGAAAUUGCUGAAAGGGAAGGGCUUUAGGUCAGACUUGGUUUUUAACGAUUAUCUUCUCUUCUUGAGUUGUGCACUCGUUUCUUACUGGGCCAAUAUCAGUUUCUUCGGUGGAGCACCCUUUGUAAUGUGACCCUUUUCCUCUGGUUAGGGGUGUUAUAGACAUUGGACGAUUCAUUUGGGGGACUGAGGACUGCGCAUUUUUAUGCUAGGAUAUUGGCGUAAUGACCUUAAGCCGC
RNAcentral lists this ribosomal RNA (560 nucleotides) under Saccharomycopsis sp. DUCC 7019. RNAcentral's name for it is "eukaryotic LSU rRNA". It matches the Rfam family "Eukaryotic large subunit ribosomal RNA", at positions 78 to 648 of the family's 3401-position model. The record is from RNAcentral. Lineage: Eukaryota; Fungi; Ascomycota; Saccharomycetes; Ascoideales; Saccharomycopsidaceae. RNAcentral also lists the same sequence under 3 other names.